GGGUUAUAACAAAACAAAUCACCUCCACAGUCGAGAACAAGUGACGAAGUGAAACCACAUCAGCAGAGCUGCAGAGGCGCCUCCACCUUCAGGCAACGACCAGUCACCUCCGCGGCUCCGCCGAUUGCCGACACCGCUGUCCUCCUCCGCGGCUCCGCCUCCGCCGACAGCCUUCAGUUUGUUAUACGAUUAUCAUCAGCGAUUAAGAAAUAAUCUUGGAACAAAAAGCUACAUUUAUGGUUGUUGAUUUCAGUUCUUGAGUUCAAGAUGCCUAUUGAUUUCAAAGAUUUUCAACUUUCACCAUUCAAGGUGCUCUUGAAUGAUGCAAGCCCAUUAGGAAAGACAAGGUAUGAUUAAUUUCAUUAAUUUUCUAAUUUUUAAUUCAGUUUAAUCUAUCUCUAUUGUUAAAGCAAAAUAACUCUGAGUAUUUGACUAUAAUGUGGCAUAGCUACUUAUUCGGAGGUGUACAAAUCAGUUUUUUUAAUUUUAAAACGAUAUGAUUUUUUUAACUGGUUUCGGUUUUUUAUGGCACAAAAAAAAACAUUUUUUUAUAACCAGUUCGGUUUUUUAAACCGAUUUGAUACGGAAAGAAUUCGAGGUACUAACCAGUUCGGUUCGGUUUUUAAACCGGUAACGACGAGGUAUGUUUUGCCACAAACAAACUGACUAAGAGUAUGCACUUAACUGUUUAUAUUACCCGGUGAUUAAUUUGCUAUUUUUUUUAUAAUAUUGUACUAUUUUCAAGUAAAUGCAUUGCUUUUAAUUUGAUUUGUUCACAUUUCUGAUGUGAGAUUGUUCAACAAAUACCCUUGCUUAUAUCUUUAGACUUGCCAAUGGUUCUAAUUAAGCCUCCAAAGGCAUGCUCCACACUGGAAGUUUACAAGGUAAUUUGUCUCUUAUGACUAGAGGCCACCAAAUGGGUAGGUCAUGUGAGUUGGGUAACGGGUCAAAAACAGGUUUGGAUUGAAACGGGUCAUAAUAGACCAAGUGAGGUUAACAUUUAAAAUCCUUUUUUUUCGCUUCUUUUUAACUUAUAUAUAGUUAUAAACAAUAAAUGGCUAAUUUUGAUUACAAAAACCAUAUUUUUCUAAUAACGAGUUUGAAUAAAAUGAUUUAGUGUAACAUUUAACCCAUUUGACAUGUUCUAUGUUUUUCAUUUGACCCUUUCGAGAUAGAACACAACCAAAUUUAACCUAUUGAUUCUUAAAUGGAUGUAAAUUGCCACCUCUACUUACGACAAUGAUGUUGAAAUGUUACUUAUCAGUAGUUCCGGUUAGAUGUAUCAGGUACUGUUGACCUUUUAGCGUUGCUGGAGAAGAUAUCAAAGAAUGGAAUAUCACAAGAUGUUUGGCGAAGAAGAACCGGUCUAUAACCGUCGGGUGGGGUUGUGCCUGAAUCGGUUUUUUUAAUAAUCGGUUAAAAAACAGUUUUGGUUUUUUUUCAAUUUCGAUCCUAAAACCAGUUUUUUUUUGCAUGUAGAAAAAUUGAAUAUCAUAAUAAUGCCAUGAAAUCUAAUUGUGUGUAGGUCAUGAAAUCUGCACAACAAGUUGGUAGAAUGUCAAUGCAAUGGACCACAUAUGUCUUUCAUGAAAAUGAUCAAUGUGAUGAACCAAUAGAGGUUAGGUAUGCGCCUAUCGCACUGGUAACGACGAGAUUGUUCAACAAAUACCCUCGCCUAUAUCUUUUGACUUGCCAAUGGUUCUAAUUAAACCUCUAGAGGCAUGCUCCACACUUGAAGUUUACAAGAUGUAUCAGGUAUCGUUGACUCUUUUGCCUUGCUGGAGAAGAUAUCAAAGAAUGGAAUAUCACAAGAUGUUUGUGUAAAUGAUUUGGAACCGUCUGCAUUUGAGCGUUUCCUCUGAAAAGAUCAGAACAACGCAUAAUUGUUGCAUGCCGUGAAAAAUGUGAUGUUUUUAUGUCUCAAAGGAACCAAGAAUUCCUAAUAAUUUGUCAAUAGUUACAAGUGUGCUAUUUGCAACGCCAAGUCGAAUAAUCAAUCUAGAACAAACCCAUGCAGGUAUUCACAUCACUAUACCUGGUGGCACUAGCAAGCGGGGGAGUCAAGGUAUGUAUCUUAGUCGAGCAUAUCAAUUUGAUGACAAUGAUAUGGCUUAUAAAAAGGUCAAGAUUUUCUUUAAUUGGUAUAUUAAAGUGUAUAGCCAUUUGACGAUUUUUUAUUUUUCCGUAUUACCUUUUCUUUAGUUCAUUGUAAUUUAAUAUUUACAUAAGUAAUGAAACGUUUCUUUCGUU
Long non-coding RNA from Helianthus annuus (common sunflower), 2250 nucleotides. RefSeq lists it as uncharacterized. The transcript has 8 exons. NCBI's taxonomy places the organism in Eukaryota, Viridiplantae, Streptophyta, Magnoliopsida, Asterales, Asteraceae. The record is from RefSeq and is a predicted model, not a curated record.